Molecule: transfer RNA, 88 nt
Filed under: Candidatus Jacksonbacteria bacterium RIFCSPHIGHO2_12_FULL_44_12
Lineage: Bacteria; Candidatus Jacksoniibacteriota
Also listed under: 4 other names
Description: tRNA-Leu
Rfam family: tRNA
About the family: Transfer RNA (tRNA) molecules are approximately 80 nucleotides in length. Their secondary structure includes four short double-helical elements and three loops (D, anti-codon, and T loops).
Source: RNAcentral
GCCAGGAUGGCGAAACCGGCAGACGCGCUAGGUUCAGGGCCUAGUCCCAAUUUUUGGGGUGGAGGUUCGAGUCCUCUUCCUGGCACCA